UGCUGAGCACAACGCAGCUCCGCCCUCGCAAAGGCACAGCGCGGGCGCAGGCGCCCAGAGGCGCACAGGAGACCUCAGGCCCAGACUCCACUCCCCAGCUGUGAAAGGACUGCUGGCCAGACCCCCAAGCUAGCCCGCCAGGCCUCCAUAGAGCUGCCCAGCAUGGCUGCAUCCAGUACCAAGAGUUGGUGGGAGACGGGUGAGGUAUAGGCUCAGUCUGCGGCCAAGACUCCGUCCUGCAAGGAUAUUGUGGCUGGAGACAUGAGCAAGAAAAGCCUCUGGGAGCAGAAGGGAGGCUCCAAGACCUCAUCAACAAUUAAGAGCCAGCUCAAUCACUUCUCCAGAAAGACUUACUGAGUCCUCUGCACUGAACAGGUGUCCUGUGCUCCAGGAGAGCCCUGGGCUGGCUCCUAGUGUAGCCAUUAUGACCCUGGAAUGCACCAUCUUUCACAUCACUGCCUGGCCUUCUAGAAUCUCAGCUUCUUAAAUCAAGAAAUUGUGUCUUGUUCAUGUCUGAAUUCCCCAAGUGAACACAGAAGGAGUGAUUGGCUGCUGGUCCUGCCCUGUCCGAGGAGGAGGACGGAACCCACCCACCAAGCUGUGGAGAGGUGGACCCCACAAAUCCCCUCGCAAGCCACGUCUGAGAGCGAGCAGAGGGAAGAAACUCAAGCGUUUGUAGUCCUCUUUCUUAACAACCAGGCUUAAAGCGCCAUCUUGUGUCUUGAAGGCAGAAGGAGAUCAGGAUGUGUGUGCUAGAAGCAGGCAGAGGAUCUUCACCAAUGUCUCAAAAACUAGAGAAGGAAACAUGGCGAUCCUCAAGGCCCGCGGCGGCCCCAGCCCUUCCCGCACCCUGCGAUAGUCUGGUGUUGGGAGGGUGGCCCACGUGUCCAAGCAACCACAUCAGGGAGGUUCUGGGAGAGGAGAAGGCAAAGCUCAUGCCCUCAUGAGGCAGGCAGUCCCAUCCAGGACUGGACUGGAUGAGCACCAAUAAAUAAGAAAACACAGCUGGCAGCUGACUGUGAAGGGUCUGGACAGGGUGCCGAAGUGAAGCGUAAUGAGCUGGAUAGUGAGGACCUCACUACAGAGGGACAUCUAUCUACACACAGCCUGAAGGGUGAGAAAGAUGGAUCCUUGCCCUGAGCCAGAAGUGCACACCCCAGAGAGAGCAGCUCCUGCGGAGGUCCUGUGGGGCAGGCAUGGUAGGAAUAUUAAAGAGAAGAAGCCAGGUGUGGCUGCAGCCAUGCAGGAGGAAGGGCGAUGGGGUUGGGGAGGCAGAGGAUGGGACUGGCAUGAGAAGAUGGAGAUGCAGAGCCCAGAUCGUGAUAGCCCCAAUAGUCCACGGGUAGGAGUUUGUAUUUUCUACUAAAAGCAAUGGGAGGGCGGGGCGCGGUAGCUCAAGCCUAUAAUUCCAGCACUUUGGGAGGCC
Molecule: long non-coding RNA, 1426 nt
Filed under: Homo sapiens (human)
Lineage: Eukaryota; Metazoa; Chordata; Mammalia; Primates; Hominidae
Description: HSALNT0295205
Source: RNAcentral